Molecule: transfer RNA, 85 nt
Filed under: Agromyces flavus
Lineage: Bacteria; Bacillati; Actinomycetota; Actinomycetes; Micrococcales; Microbacteriaceae
Description: tRNA-Ser
Source: RNAcentral
CCGCGUUCCGGUUGGUCGGACCCGACGGCCGCGCGCUCGAGACGCGCGUCCCGCUCAUCGGGCGGUUCAUGGCGUCCAACGCCGC